CGUACUGAGACACGGACCAGACUCCUACGGGAGGCAGCAGUGGGGAAUUUUCCGCAAUGGGCGAAAGCCUGACGGAGCAACGCCGCGUGAGGGAUGAAGGCCUCUGGGCUGUAAACCUCUUUUCUCAAGGAAGAAGAUCUGACGGUACUUGAGGAAUAAGCCACGGCUAAUUCCGUGCCAGCAGCCGCGGUAAUACGGAGGAUCCAAGCGUUAUCCGGAAUCAUUGGGUUUAAAGGGUCCGUAGGCGGUCUUAUAAGUCAGUGGUGAAAUCCCAUCGCUCAACGAUGGAACUGCCAUUGAUACUGUAAGACUUGAAUACUUGGGAAGUAACUAGAAUAUGUAGUGUAGCGGUGAAAUGCUUAGAUAUUACAUGGAAUACCAAUUGCGAAGGCAGGUUACUACUAAGUGAUUGACGCUGAUGGACGAAAGCGUGGGGAGCGAACAGGAUUAGAUACCCUGGUAGUCCACGCCGUAAACGAUGGAUACUAGCUGUUCGGAGCAAUCUGAGUGGCUAAGCGAAAGUGAUAAGUAUCCCACCUGGGGAGUACGCACGCAAGUGUGAAACUCAAAGGAAUUGACGG
Molecule: ribosomal RNA, 581 nt
Filed under: uncultured Bacteroidota bacterium
Lineage: Bacteria; Pseudomonadati; Bacteroidota
Description: bacterial SSU rRNA
Rfam family: Bacterial small subunit ribosomal RNA
Source: RNAcentral